This 1236-nucleotide unclassified non-coding RNA is filed under the name Leishmania donovani. RNAcentral's name for it is "gene:unknown". The record is from RNAcentral. Lineage: Eukaryota; Euglenozoa; Kinetoplastea; Trypanosomatida; Trypanosomatidae.
UGGUUGGGUUCCACGCUGUUGUCUGCAUGGCGCGCGUGGUGAUCACGAAUGCCUCCUUCUCUGCCCUGACGGUCUUGCAGGCACUGACAUUCCUCAUCAACCUUACGUGUAAAGAGCCGGCGCUGGUGUCGUUGGCACGUGAGCAGCACGCGCGCCUUUCUGGUGUCAACUCGUUUCAGCGAACAAAAAGUGCAGAGCUCGUGUGCGCCUCCACACCUCUUCGAUUCUCUCGGCUAUACUCUCCCCCUCCUAUAGAAUCUUUGCCUGCCUGCCCCCUCCCUCUCUCUCCCGCCUGCCGUACUCAGCCCCGAUGUUGCGACAGAGCGUGCGGUGGCUUGCCUUCAUGUCCCCUGGCGACCUGUAUGCGCUCAGCCAGCGCAGCAGCUUCUCCUCCUACACGCAGUACAGCGACGCAUCUGCGUUAGCCCGCUCGUACAAGAGGUGCUCACGGGCUGAGAAGCUGAAGUGUGAGGAGCGUGCCGAGGCAAUCAAUGACGAGGUUGAACGCGCCUACCAAACGGAAGCUCAGCUGCUGAGGCAAGAAGAUAGCGAUUUGCGCUCGAACACAUGUGGUGCAGCAGCUCACAACGAAUGACAAGGGGUUUUGUAUGCGCCAUAUCGGAUGGGAGGAGAGGCGCGCGGGGUGGGGGAGCUCCGUGCGCGGUGUCGCUGCCGCUGUCCGGUCGCGGGUGGCGUUGUGCGUCGCGGCGACCGGCGACAGUGUGAGCACGGUUGUGCCAUUUGUAUGUGGUGUGCAAGGCCACCAUGCGCCUCGAGCGUAUCCCACCCGGCCGCCACACUGCCUACUGCUGGUGUGUGUGUGUGGGGGGGGGCGAGUGGCGCUGGAGCCAUGCCGCGAUAGCAGCUAGACGGACACGAUGCAGCACAAGCGUCUUCGUUGUGCUGUUUGGGUACUCGACGCGUCCGUUUGCAUGCUGUUGCCGUGCAUGAGUACCAGCGGGAGCGAUCUGCGUAUUGACGAGCCUGCUUUUGGCGUGCCUCAACUGUUGCGUGUGUCGGGUGCUCAGCUUAUCUUGUUUGAUCUCUGUUCUGUGACUCGUCGAACAUGUUGCGCACACGGCUCUCCUUGCCAGCACGGAGCUGGGGUGCAAGGUUCCUCGACCCCACCUCAUCACGGAUCUGCGUCCUCGUCACCUUUUCCUUCAUUCCUUCUGACAACAGACGGGGACCGCGGCGGCUAUCGCUCUGUGUAGGAGGCCCAGUGGAAGGCGCGCC